UACGAAGGGGGCUAGCGUUGCUCGGAAUCACUGGGCGUAAAGGGUGCGUAGGCGGGUCUUUAAGUCAGGGGGGAAAUCCUGGAGCUCAACUCCAGAACUGCCUUUGAUACUGAGGAUCUUGAGUUCGGGAGAGGUGAGUGGAACUGCGAGUGUAGAGGUGAAAUUCGUAGAUAUUCGCAAGAACACCAGUGGCGAAGGCGGCUCACGGGCCCGAUACUGACGCUGAGGCACGAAAGCGUGGGGAGCAAACAGG
RNAcentral lists this ribosomal RNA (253 nucleotides) under uncultured bacterium. Its description in RNAcentral is "partial 16S ribosomal RNA". It matches the Rfam family "Bacterial small subunit ribosomal RNA", at positions 524 to 776 of the family's 1533-position model. The record is from RNAcentral.